GCGUCUCGUCUAGAAGCUGCAGCUUGGCCUGUCUCACCUCUACACAGAGGGGCUGCUGGCGCCUGACGGAAAAAGGUCCACACACCCGAUGGCCGGCCCGGGGUGGACGCUGCUGCUACUGCUGCUGCUGCUGCUGCUGCUGGGGUCCAUGGCAGGGUAUGGGCCACAGAAGAAGUUGAACCUGUCCCAUAAGGGCAUCGGGGAGCCAUGCAGGAGACACGAGGAGUGCCAGAGCAACUGCUGUACCAUCAACAGCCUGGCCCCACACACGCUCUGCACCCCUAAGACCAUCUUCCUGCAGUGCCUGCCCUGGAGGAAGGUGAGCCCAAUGGGUACAGAUGCUCGCACGACUCAGAGUGCCAGAGCAGCUGCUGCGUCCGCAACAACAGCCCGCAGGAGUUGUGCACGCCCCAAAGCGUCUUCCUGCAGUGUGUGCCCUGGCGCAAGCCCAACGGCGACUUCUGCAGCAGCCAUCAGGAGUGUCACAGCCAGUGCUGCAUCCAGCUGAGGGAGUACAGCCCCUUCCGCUGCAUUCCCCGGACCGGGAUCCUGGCCCAGUGCCUGCCCCUGUGAUGUGAGCUCGAACCUGGGCGCGAGGGACCGGCCUGGGCCCUGGGAUGUUCACGCAGGACCGCGUUGCGCGGGGGCUGGUUCCAGCGGAAGCUUCCCUUACGGUUUGUGCUGCUGUUUCUGGGGCUCUGAAAAUCUGUGGGAACUGAAAGGCUGUGACCAGCCUGGUGGCGCGAAGUGUCUGUGAGAACAAAUCCCAGGCACUGGGGUGUAGCCUGAUUGUUAAACAUCAAUAAAGGCUCCUGGCCGACUGAG
Molecule: long non-coding RNA, 825 nt
Filed under: Homo sapiens (human)
Lineage: Eukaryota; Metazoa; Chordata; Mammalia; Primates; Hominidae
Description: non-protein coding lnc-LRCOL1-2:14
Source: RNAcentral